GAUGAAGAACGUAGCGAAAUGCGAUAAGUAGUGUGAAUUGCAGAAUUCAGUGAAUCAUCGAAUCUUUGAACGCACAUUGCGCCCCUCGGUAUUCCGUGGGGCAUGCCUGUUCGAGCGUCAUUUAACCCCUCAAGCCUAGCUUGGUAUUGGGUGCUUGUCCCGCCCCUCGCGCGGCGACUCACCUCAAAGUCAUUGGCAGCCCGCAUCUCGCCGGCCGUGAGCGCAGCACAGACGCGCUCUUGGCAACGACGGAUCGGCUCUCCAAAAGCUUAUUUCAACCACUGACCUCGGAUCAGGUAGGGAUACCCGCUGAACUUAAGCAUAUCAAUAAGCGGAGGA
RNAcentral lists this unclassified non-coding RNA (339 nucleotides) under soil metagenome. RNAcentral's name for it is "partial contains 5.8S ribosomal RNA, internal transcribed spacer 2, and large subunit ribosomal RNA". The stretch from base 1 to 120 matches the Rfam family "5.8S ribosomal RNA", at positions 35 to 154 of the family's 154-position model. The record is from RNAcentral.